AAUUAAUCCAGGCAAUGCUGCAUCACUUGCGGGGAGGAACUGCCUGCAGGGUCUGUGCAGCUCCAGUGGAUACACAGUUACCCAGGGCAAGGGGGCGUGGUUUGGCAUAUUCUGAACCCACCUCCACUAUGGGUCCCUGGAGUGAUCCCUGAGGCCCCGCCUUGGUGGUGGGGGAAGGAAUGGUGAUCUCCCAGUCUCUUCUCCAGGGAGCCGGAGCUGGUGGACUCCGUUUGAGUCUUCCUCACUGUGCCGCGGGCGCAGAUAGGGCUGUCCUUCUCACUCCACCAACUCCCCUGACCCUGUGCUUGCCUAGGAUUCAAAGUCCUGCUUGGUGCACUCUGGCCCUGGGGAAGCGCCUCUCAGUGCUCCCAUAUGUGGUCACGGCUGGUUUGUCUGUGCAGCCACACUUCAGAGAGAACCUACUUCUAUUGCAGACUGAGAGCCUCUGCCCUGGCAGGGAGCCCAUCGGAUGGUGGAUGCAGGCAGGCUUUGUCUUUUCCCACAGCUACUCCAGGGAAACGGCCGCCUUAUCCUCCUGUAGACUGAGCCUUUGGCCCAGCCACUGCACUUGGGGGUGGCAGUCGCAGGCAGGUUCUGUGCUGUCAUGCAGCCAUCCAGGGAGGGAACCACUUCUCCAGCUGCGGACUGAGCCUCUGACCUACCACCGCACCAGGGCUGGCUCCCCUCCUCCCCAGGAGCCUGAAAAGGGAGCUGGCCCCAGUCCAAAGAAAGCCCCACAGUUAGAGAUCGGAUCCCUCUCAGUCUCAGUCCGAGGUCUUUCUCUUGUCCAGCUACAGUCCUGCACUUCCCUAGCCGCUCUUUCUCUUCCCUUUGUGUCUCUGAAGAAGGGGGUCCCUCCACUCCAUGCCCACGUGGCCUUUUUUUAUAUCCCCCAGGUCGCAGUUACCCCCCUAUCUUUUUUCUAGCUUUCCCAUUUUCUUCCUAAUAGAUUCAGUCUCUUUUCCUCACAGCCUCUGGUGUGCAAAGUCCUUUGGCUUCUACACUUCUUUGUUUGAGAGUCGCGGGAUGUAUGGAUACCCCUACUUCUCUGCCAUGUUGGCCCUCUUCCCCCUAAAGAUUUUCUCUGAUGCUUUCU
RNAcentral lists this long non-coding RNA (1096 nucleotides) under Felis catus (domestic cat). RNAcentral describes it as "lncRNA (ENSFCAG00000049672.1)". Lineage: Eukaryota; Metazoa; Chordata; Mammalia; Carnivora; Felidae. The record is from RNAcentral.